This 2095-nucleotide ribosomal RNA is filed under the name metagenome. RNAcentral's name for it is "bacterial LSU rRNA". It matches the Rfam family "Bacterial large subunit ribosomal RNA", at positions 826 to 2925 of the family's 2925-position model. The record is from RNAcentral.
AUUCCAAUCGAACUUGGAGAUAGCUGGUUCUCUCCGAAAUAGCUUUAGGGCUAGCCUCAAGUGAUGAUUAUUGGAGGUAGAGCACUGUUUGGACGAGGGGCCCCUCUCGGGUUACCGAAUUCAGACAAACUCCGAAUGCCAAUUAAUUUAACUUGGGAGUCAGAACAUGGGUGAUAAGGUCCGUGUUCGAAAGGGAAACAGCCCAGACCACCAGCUAAGGUCCCAAAAUAUAUGUUAAGUGGAAAAGGAUGUGGCGUUGCCCAGACAACUAGGAUGUUGGCUUAGAAGCAGCCAUCAUUUAAAGAGUGCGUAAUAGCUCACUAGUCGAGUGACACUGCGCCGAAAAUGUACCGGGGCUAAACAUAUUACCGAAGCUGUGGAUUGUCCUUUGGACAAUGGUAGGAGAGCGUUCUAAGGGCGUCGAAGCAUGAUCGCAAGGACAUGUGGAGCGCUUAGAAGUGAGAAUGCCGGUGUGAGUAGCGAAAGACGGGUGAGAAUCCCGUCCACCGAUUGACUAAGGUUUCCAGAGGAAGGCUCGUCCGCUCUGGGUUAGUCGGGUCCUAAGCUGAGGCCGACAGGCGUAGGCGAUGGAUAACAGGUUGAUAUUCCUGUACCACCUAGUAUCGUUUUAAUCGAUGGGGGGACGCAGUAGGAUAGGCGAAGCGUGCUGUUGGAGUGCACGUCCAAGCAGUAAGGCUGAGUGUUAGGCAAAUCCGGCACUCAUAAGGCUGAGCUGUGAUGGGGAGAGGAAAUUGUUUCCUCGAGUCGUUGAUUUCACACUGCCGAGAAAAGCCUCUAGAUAGAUAACAGGUGCCCGUACCGCAAACCGACACAGGUAGUCAAGAUGAGAAUUCUAAGGUGAGCGAGCGAACUCUCGUUAAGGAACUCGGCAAAAUGACCCCGUAACUUCGGGAGAAGGGGUGCUCUUUAGGGUUCACGCCCAGAAGAGCCGCAGUGAAUAGGCCCAAGCGACUGUUUAUCAAAAACACAGGUCUCUGCUAAACCGUAAGGUGAUGUAUAGGGGCUGACGCCUGCCCGGUGCUGGAAGGUUAAGAGGAGUGGUUAGCUUCUGCGAAGCUACGAAUCGAAGCCCCAGUAAACGGCGGCCGUAACUAUAACGGUCCUAAGGUAGCGAAAUUCCUUGUCGGGUAAGUUCCGACCCGCACGAAAGGCGUAACGAUUUGGGCACUGUCUCAACGAGAGACUCGGUGAAAUCAUAGUACCUGUGAAGAUGCAGGUUACCCGCGACAGGACGGAAAGACCCCGUGGAGCUUUACUGUAGCCUGAUAUUGAAAUUCGGCACAGCUUGUACAGGAUAGGUAGGAGCCUUUGAAACGUGAGCGCUAGCUUACGUGGAGGCGUUGGUGGGAUACUACCCUAGCUGUGUUGGCUUUCUAACCCGCACCACUUAUCGUGGUGGGAGACAGUGUCAGGCGGGCAGUUUGACUGGGGCGGUCGCCUCCUAAAAGGUAACGGAGGCGCUCAAAGGUUCCCUCAGAAUGGUUGGAAAUCAUUCAUAGAGUGUAAAGGCAUAAGGGAGCUUGACUGCGAGACCUACAAGUCGAGCAGGGUCGAAAGACGGACUUAGUGAUCCGGUGGUUCCGCAUGGAAGGGCCAUCGCUCAACGGAUAAAAGCUACCCCGGGGAUAACAGGCUUAUCUCCCCCAAGAGUUCACAUCGACGGGGAGGUUUGGCACCUCGAUGUCGGCUCAUCGCAUCCUGGGGCUGUAGUCGGUCCCAAGGGUUGGGCUGUUCGCCCAUUAAAGCGGUACGCGAGCUGGGUUCAGAACGUCGUGAGACAGUUCGGUCCCUAUCCGUCGUGGGCGUAGGAAAUUUGAGAGGAGCUGUCCUUAGUACGAGAGGACCGGGAUGGACAUACCUCUGGUGUACCAGUUGUCGUGCCAACGGCAUAGCUGGGUAGCUAUGUAUGGACGGGAUAAGUGCUGAAAGCAUCUAAGCAUGAAGCCCCCCUCAAGAUGAGAUUUCCCAACUUCGGUUAUAAGAUCCCUCGAAGAUGACGAGGUUAAUAGGUUCGAGGUGGAAGCGUGGUGACACGUGGAGCUGACGAAUACUAAUCGAUCGAAGACUUAAUCAA